This 497-nucleotide ribosomal RNA is filed under the name uncultured bacterium. RNAcentral's name for it is "partial 16S ribosomal RNA". It matches the Rfam family "Bacterial small subunit ribosomal RNA", at positions 28 to 507 of the family's 1533-position model. The record is from RNAcentral.
GAUGAACGCUGGCGGCGUGCCUAAUACAUGCAAGUCGAGCGAACGGACGAGAAGCUUGCUUCUCUGAUGUUAGCGGCGGACGGGUGAGUAACACGUGGAUAACCUACCUAUAAGACUGGGAUAACUUCGGGAAACCGGAGCUAAUACCGGAUAAUAUUUUGAACCGCAUGGUUCAAAAGUGAAAGACGGUCUUGCUGUCACUUAUAGAUGGAUCCGCGCUGCAUUAGCUAGUUGGUAAGGUAACGGCUUACCAAGGCAACGAUGCAUAGCCGACCUGAGAGGACGACCGGCCACACUGGAACUGAGACACGGCCCAGACUCCUACGGGAGGCAGCAGUGGGGAUUCUUGCACAAUGGGCGAAAGCCUGACGGAGCAACGCCGCGUGAGUGAAGAAGGUCUUCGGAUUGUAAAGCUUUUUUAUUAGGAAAGAAAAUAUUGGAACUAACAUGGGCGCAUCUUGACGGUACCUAAUAAAAAAGCCCCGGCUAACUACGUG